This is a non-coding RNA of Solanum lycopersicum (tomato), 1846 nucleotides long. NCBI's taxonomy places the organism in Eukaryota, Viridiplantae, Streptophyta, Magnoliopsida, Solanales, Solanaceae. The record is from RefSeq and is a predicted model, not a curated record.
UUCCGCUUGCUUUAUUUCUUUGUUCUCAUUUUAGUUUUUGUCGAUUUUUUCAUUUGAUAGGUUUGGAUGAAGUUUUUUUUCAAUUUUGGUAUUUGGGUUUGGCUAAUGUUGCAGGCAUAAAAUUUAAACUUGAUUAGAUGUUGUUAUGGUCGUCAUUUUCUCCUUCUCUUCUCUGUCGUCCCCUGUUUACAUAUUUGUAUUUCAAUUCUUAGUUAUUGAAGUGCAGUGUUUCUUAUGUAGAUGUUUUUUCAAUUUGUUAAGUUUUUCAGGUAGGUCAUUGCAUAUACCUUGAGAAAAAAGGAAAGGAAAGAAUUUGAACAGAUGAGAUGUUGGGAACAUCGAGUUCUCUCUACUCUCUUUCUCAAUUAUAUAUAUGUAAUUUUCCUUUCCUUUGAUAAAUUGAGCACCAAUACGUGAACUUGAAUCCCCAAUUUAGGUUACUUUUGAAAUGGUUUCUACAUGAUUUUGAUCUUAUAUAAACCUAUUUCUAUAAAUGACUGUGACAGAGGACCUUUUAUCUUAGAAAAAAUAUUCUAUACCUCUUCCCAGUAAAUACAGAGAAAUACUCAAAAUUACAUGUCACGUAUGGGUAUGUAAACAAAGCAACAAAUUUAUACUGGUCAAAUGGCAUUAUCACUUAAUAUUCUCUCCAAUGCUUGAAUCAGCUUUGGAGAAAUCACUUCAAUUCGGCAUAAUCGACUAUUUCUAGUACGAGAGACAACUCUUUCUCAGUUGAGUAUGUCUGCUCAACCAACUCUACAAGAAUGUUGGAAAGAAAUUGAAAUCUUACAAGUGUUUGCUAAGAUAAAACUCUUCUAUGUUGAGAAAAGAAAUGUCAAUAUCAAAUGAGCCGCAAGAGUUUUGUGUGCGUGAAUGCUCAUGCUGCAAACAAAAGAAGCGUAGAAAGGAUAAAAAGGAUUUUGAGUACCCAAAAUGCGCAUCUUGGAAAUUGAUCUUAUUGAUGGCACUCCUUCGGCUACAACAUCCAUUUCUGAUUUAUUGGGAGAAACAUCAUUCUCCGUGACAACAGAAAACAUAUUUGACAUAAUUUGCAUUAAGAAGCAAUUGUUGUAUCUUAACCAUUUCCAUAAGAUGUGUCAAAUAAACUAUUUCAAAUUCAGCUAAGGAAAUUAUCUUGGGACAACUCAAAUACCAUACAUACAACUUUGUUAGUUCUUUCCUAUGUGCAAAAAAGAACACUCUUCCGCCCAACACUAUUAGGAGGGAUUCCAAAAUGAUCAAGCCUCUAUAGAUCAGUGAGGUGAGAAACAGAAAACAAGUAUUGCAUCUGAUUUCUCAAGUGAGAAGCUGAAAUAUGAACCAUUCACACUAACAAAAAAAGGUGUAAAAGUGUUUCAACCAUUUUGAGCACUUUGAGUUGAUCGAGACUUUCCCGGGAUAUGUUGAAUAUGACAUCUCAGAUGUUGCUUCCGGCCAGCAUAUUCCCCAGGUGCUCCUCUUUUACCAGUGUAUGAUUGUAAUCCCAUAGUACUAUGGAUAUACUAUUAUGUGCUUCAUAUUUUCAGUUUCUUACAGACUUUACACUUUCAUCAGAAAUUACCUCGACUUUUCAGGUUUACUAAACAUUUUUCUCAGGUUCCUCGAAGCUAUGUUUUUUUCAAUGCAGAAGAAUAGCUACUAAAAAUUAUACUCUUAGACUCCAAAUAUUACAUCUGCUAAAUUAUGAAAUGGGCGUGCUCUAUGUCAAAACUAAAACAUCUGCUGUAUCUUUUGGAUGUAUAACAUUAGUUCAUGUUUGCAGAUCGCUUAAGUAGACACCAUACUGACAUCAGUUGUACAUAUACUGAAUAUUUUUAAUAGUAUGAUAUCAACCAUUUUUGUCGUA